CCUACGGGGGGCUGCAGUAAGGAAUAUUGGUCAAUGGACGAAAGUCUGAACCAGCCAUCCCGCGUGCAGGAUGAAGGUCCUAUGGAUUGUAAACUGCUUUUAGCAGAGAAGAAAAGCAUCCUUUUAAGGGUGUCUGACGGUAUCUGCGGAAUAAGCACCGGCUAACUCCGUGCCAGCAGCCGCGGUAAUACGGAGGGUGCAAGCGUUAUCCGGAAUCACUGGUGCGAAAGGGUGCGUAGGAGGAAGUGUAGAAAGCCUGUCGCUUAACGAUAGAACUGACAUUGAUACUGAUAUUCUUGAAUUGGGUUGAGGUUAGCGGAAUGUGACAUGUAGCGGUGAAAUGCAUAGAUAUGUCAUGGAACACCAAUUGCGAAGGCAGCUAGCUGGGCCUUGAUUGACGCUGAGGCACGAAAGCGUGGGUAGCGAACAGGAUUAGAUACCCUUGUAGUC
Molecule: ribosomal RNA, 450 nt
Filed under: uncultured bacterium
Lineage: Bacteria
Description: partial 16S ribosomal RNA
Rfam family: Bacterial small subunit ribosomal RNA
Source: RNAcentral